This 492-nucleotide ribosomal RNA is filed under the name uncultured bacterium. RNAcentral describes it as "partial 16S ribosomal RNA". It matches the Rfam family "Bacterial small subunit ribosomal RNA", at positions 29 to 507 of the family's 1533-position model. The record is from RNAcentral.
AGUGAACGCUGGCGGUAGGCCUAACACAUGCAAGUCGAACGGCAGCACAGUAAGAGCUUGCUGUUACGGGUGGGGGGUGGCGGAUGGGUUAGGAAUACAUCGUAAACUACUUUUUCGGGGGGGAGAACGUAGGUAGACUUAUGCUAAUACGUCAUACUACUAACCGGUGUAAGCAGACGAUCUUUGCAGCUGCUGCUUCUUGAUGGCCCCCUUGCGGAUUAGGUAGUUGGCGGGGUAUAGGACCACCAGGGCGACCAUCUGUAGCUGGUCCGAGAGGAUGAUCAGCCACACUGGAACUGAGACACGGUCCAGACUCCUACGGGAGGCAGCAGUGGGGAAUAUUGGACAAUGGGCGCAAGCCUGAUCCAGCCAUACCGCGUGGGUGAAGAAGGCCUUCGGGUUGUAAAGCCCUUUUGUUGGGAAAGAAAAGCAGCAGGUUAAUCCACCGCUGUUCUGACGGUACCCAAAGAGUAAGCACCGGCUAACUUCGUG